UACGAAGGGGGCUAGCGUUGCUCGGAAUUACUGGGCGUAAAGCGCACGUAGGCGGCUUUCUAAGUCGGGGGUGAAAUCCCGGGGCUCAACCCCGGAACUGCCUUUGAUACUGGUAGUCUCGAGUCCGGAAGAGGUGAGUGGAAUUCCGAGUGUAGAGGUGAAAUUCGUAGAUAUUCGGAGGAACACCAGUGGCGAAGGCGGUUCUCUGGGCCUUACCUGACGCUGAGGAGCGAAAGCGUGGGGAGCGAACAGG
Molecule: ribosomal RNA, 253 nt
Filed under: uncultured bacterium
Lineage: Bacteria
Description: partial 16S ribosomal RNA
Rfam family: Bacterial small subunit ribosomal RNA
Source: RNAcentral